This 713-nucleotide long non-coding RNA is filed under the name Homo sapiens (human). Its description in RNAcentral is "HSALNT0149927". Lineage: Eukaryota; Metazoa; Chordata; Mammalia; Primates; Hominidae. The record is from RNAcentral.
CAGGCCAAGAGGUGAAGUUCUUGUUUAUUGUUGCAGCAACUCUUAUACAGACAUUAGCGUUCAGUUAAAUAAAGGAAGAUAGAUAGCACAGUAAAUACAUCACAACCCCAAACUGGAUGACUGUGGCCACGGGACGGAGGAGGGAGGGAGGGAGGGACCAGUGACCAGACUGUCAAGGAAGUACAUUCAGUGGGUGUGCGGUGUCCACAUUCCAGGCUCACGUGUAGAUAUAUUUUAUUUAUAUAUUUAUUUAUAUUUAUAUAUAGAUCAUUGAGUUUUGUGUAUACAAAGAACGAUAUUGUUACAAAUACAAUACUAUACUUCUCCCGACACUUUACAAUAAGCUCUAUUUCACCCUCUUUACAGAACAAUAGUACAAGUUCAUACUCUAGGUGCUGUGCUAAGUAUGUACAAGAAAUGUCAUUCCCACACAGUCCUCACACACUGCCUUGAUGGAGGGGAAGAAAGAUCGAGUUGUGUGCUCAAGUCAACCUAGGCCAGGGAAGGAGACACAUGAAACUCAAACCAACAGGUGGCCUGUGAAUGCGAGUAAACACAUCUAAGGAGGGGCGGCCCCUGGUUGUAAACAUUGGUAACGGCUACACCACUGGGUCGAGGGACCCGGGAAGGGCUCUGUAGAUGGUUUUCAUCUGUGUGCGGGAGGUGUUGGUGCCCACAGGGUGAGGGGGGGGGAGGAGCUGCCAGGAGACGGA